This 269-nucleotide ribosomal RNA is filed under the name uncultured bacterium. RNAcentral's name for it is "partial 16S ribosomal RNA". It matches the Rfam family "Bacterial small subunit ribosomal RNA", at positions 793 to 1055 of the family's 1533-position model. The record is from RNAcentral.
GUCCACGCUGUAAACGAUGACGACUAGGUGUGGGGUGGUUCAGUCCAUUCCGUGCCGCAGCUAACGCAUUAAGUCGUCCGCCUGGGGAGUACGGCCGCAAGGUUGAAACUCAAAGGAAUUGACGGGGGCCCGCACAAGCGGUGGAGCAUGUGGUUCAAUUCGAUGCAGAGCGAAGAACCUUACCUGGGCUUGACAUGCAGGAAGUAGGACUCCGAAAGGGGGACGACCUGUUGAGUCAGGAGCCUGCACAGGUGGUGCAUGGCUGUCGU